CCCGGGCCUUGUACACACCGCCUGUCAAGCCAUGGAAGUUGAGGGUACCUGAAGUCGAUCACCGCAAGGAGUCGCCUAGGGUAAAAUCAAUGACGUGGGGCU
RNAcentral lists this ribosomal RNA (102 nucleotides) under uncultured bacterium. Its description in RNAcentral is "partial 16S ribosomal RNA". It matches the Rfam family "Bacterial small subunit ribosomal RNA", at positions 1373 to 1482 of the family's 1533-position model. The record is from RNAcentral.